CGCCUCCUUGCGCACUUGGAUAGCGCGUUCGGUUGCUAACCGAAAUGUUCGUGGUUCGAGCUCAUCUGGGGUGU
Non-coding RNA from Caerostris extrusa, 74 nucleotides. The record is from the annotation of a GenBank genome assembly. NCBI's taxonomy places the organism in Eukaryota, Metazoa, Arthropoda, Arachnida, Araneae, Araneidae.